RNAcentral lists this ribosomal RNA (460 nucleotides) under uncultured bacterium. Its description in RNAcentral is "partial 16S ribosomal RNA". It matches the Rfam family "Bacterial small subunit ribosomal RNA", at positions 338 to 795 of the family's 1533-position model. The record is from RNAcentral.
CCUACGGGGUGCAGCAGUGAGGAAUAUUGGUCAAUGGGCGGAAGCCUGAACCAGCCAAGUAGCGUGCAGGAUGACGGCCCUACGGGUUGUCAACUGCUUUUAUACGGGUAUAACGCGCCUUACGUGUAGGGCUUUGCAUGUACCGUAUGAAUAAGGACCGGCUAAUUCCGUGCCAGCAGCCGCGGUAAUACGGAAGUGCCGGGCGUUAGCCGGAUUUAUUGGGUUUAAAGGGAGCGUAGGCCGCAUGUCAAACGUUCUUGUAAAUGUACGGGCUCAACCCGGGCCUUGAAGCGCGAACUGGCGUGCGUGAGUCCGCGGAAAGCAGGCGGAAUGCGGCGUGUAGCGGUGAAAUGCUUAGAUAUGACGAAGAACCCCGAUUGCGAAGGCAGCUUGCUGCAGCGGAACUGACGCUGAGGCUCGAAAGCGCGGGUAUCGAACAGGAUUAGAUACCCGAGUAGUC